GGGCUUGUAGCUCAGUUGGUUAGAGCACCACCUUGACAUGGUGGGGGUCGUUGGUUCGAAUCCAAUCGAGCCCACCA
This 77-nucleotide transfer RNA is filed under the name Candidatus Vallotiella hemipterorum. RNAcentral describes it as "Candidatus Vallotia tarda tRNA-Val". It matches the Rfam family "tRNA". From Rfam's summary of the family: Transfer RNA (tRNA) molecules are approximately 80 nucleotides in length. Their secondary structure includes four short double-helical elements and three loops (D, anti-codon, and T loops). Further hydrogen bonds mediate the characteristic L-shaped molecular structure. tRNAs have two regions of fundamental functional importance: the anti-codon, which is responsible for specific mRNA codon recognition, and the 3' end, to which the tRNAs corresponding amino acid is attached (by aminoacyl-tRNA synthetases). tRNAs cope with the degeneracy of the genetic code in two manners: having more than one tRNA (with a specific anti-codon) for a particular amino acid; and 'wobble' base-pairing, i.e. permitting non-standard base-pairing at the 3rd anti-codon position. The record is from RNAcentral. Lineage: Bacteria; Pseudomonadati; Pseudomonadota; Betaproteobacteria; Burkholderiales; Burkholderiaceae.